UGCCAGCAGCCGCGGUAAGACGUGGGGGGCCAGCGUUGCUCGGAAUUACUGGGUGUAAAGGGUUCGUAGGCGGUGUGGCAAGUCGGGAGUGAAAUCUCUGGGCUUAACUCAGAGACUGCUUCCGAAACUGCUGUGCUUGAGUGUGGGAGAGGCGCGUGGAAUUGCAGGUGUAGCGGUGAAAUGCGUAGAUAUCUGCAGGAACACCCGUGGCGAAAGCGGCGCGCUGGACCACUACUGACGCUGAGGAACGAAAGCUAGGGGAGCAAACAGGAUUAGAUACCCUGGUAGUCCUAGCCCUAAACGAUCAGGACUUGGGGUGCCACCCGUUCGGGUGUCGUCCCGGAGCUAACGCGUUAAGUCCUGCACCUGGGGAGUACGGUCGCAAGACUGAAACUCAAAGGAAUUGACGGGGGCCCGCACA
RNAcentral lists this ribosomal RNA (421 nucleotides) under uncultured bacterium. RNAcentral describes it as "bacterial SSU rRNA". It matches the Rfam family "Bacterial small subunit ribosomal RNA", at positions 506 to 927 of the family's 1533-position model. The record is from RNAcentral.